UAAUUGAAGAGUUUGAUCAUGGCUCAGAUUGAACGCUGGCGGCAGGCCUAACACAUGCAAGUCGAGCGGUAACAGGAAGAAGCUUGCUUCUUUGCUGACGAGCGGCGGACGGGUGAGUAAUGUAUGGGGAUCUGCCUGACAGAGGGGGAUAACUACUGGAAACGGUAGCUAAUACCGCAUAAUCUCUAAGGAGCAAAGCAGGGGACCUUCGGGCCUUGCGCUGUCGGAUGAACCCAUAUGGGAUUAGCUAGUAGGUGGGGUAAUGGCUCACCUAGGCGACGAUCUCUAGCUGGUCUGAGAGGAUGAUCAGCCACACUGGGACUGAGACACGGCCCAGACUCCUACGGGAGGCAGCAGUGGGGAAUAUUGCACAAUGGGCGCAAGCCUGAUGCAGCCAUGCCGCGUGUAUGAAGAAGGCCUUAGGGUUGUAAAGUACUUUCAGUCGGGAGGAAGGCGUUGAUAUUAAUACUAUCAGCGAUUGACGUUACCGACAGAAGAAGCACCGGCUAACUCCGUGCCAGCAGCCGCGGUAAUACGGGGGGUGCAAGCGUUAAUCGGAAUUACUGGGCGUAAAGCGCACGCAGGCGGUUGAUUAAGUUAGAUGUGAAAUCCCCGGGCUUAACCUGGGAAUGGCAUCUAAAACUGGUCAGCUAGAGUCUUGUAGAGGGGGGUAGAAUUCCA
RNAcentral lists this non-coding RNA (681 nucleotides) under Moellerella wisconsensis ATCC 35017. Its description in RNAcentral is "Bacterial small subunit ribosomal RNA". It matches the Rfam family "Bacterial small subunit ribosomal RNA", at positions 1 to 671 of the family's 1533-position model. The record is from Rfam by way of RNAcentral. Lineage: Bacteria; Pseudomonadati; Pseudomonadota; Gammaproteobacteria; Enterobacterales; Morganellaceae.